RNAcentral lists this unclassified non-coding RNA (332 nucleotides) under soil metagenome. RNAcentral's name for it is "partial contains 5.8S ribosomal RNA, internal transcribed spacer 2, and large subunit ribosomal RNA". The stretch from base 3 to 119 matches the Rfam family "5.8S ribosomal RNA", at positions 38 to 154 of the family's 154-position model. The record is from RNAcentral.
GAGAAGAACGUAGCAAAAUGCGAUAAGUAAUGUGAAUUGCAGAAUUCAGUGAAUCAUCGAAUCUUUGAACGCACAUUGCGCCCGCCAGUAUUCUGGCGGGCAUGCCUGUUCGAGCGUCAUUUCAACCCUCAAGCUCAGCUUGGUGUUGGGACUCGCGGUAACCCUCGUUCCCCAAAUCGAUUGGCGGUCACGUCGAGCUUCCAUAGCGUAGUAAUCAUACACCUCGUUACUGGUAAUCGUCGCGGCCACGCCGUAAAACCCCAACUUCUGAAUGUUGACCUCGGAUCAGGUAGGAAUACCCGCUGAACUUAAGCAUAUCAAUAAGCGGAGGA